This 253-nucleotide ribosomal RNA is filed under the name uncultured bacterium. RNAcentral describes it as "partial 16S ribosomal RNA". It matches the Rfam family "Bacterial small subunit ribosomal RNA", at positions 524 to 776 of the family's 1533-position model. The record is from RNAcentral.
UACGUAGGGUGCAAGCGUUAAUCGGAAUUACUGGGCGUAAAGCGUGCGCAGGCGGUUAUGCAAGACAGAGGUGAAAUCCCCGGGCUCAACCUGGGAACUGCCUUUGUGACUGCAUAGCUAGAGUACGGUAGAGGGGGAUGGAAUUCCGCGUGUAGCAGUGAAACGCGUAGAUAUGCGGAGGAACACCGAUGGCGAAGGCAAUCCCCUGGACCUGUACUGACGCUCAUGCACGAAAGCGUGGGGAGCAAACAGG